UGAGAGUUGGACUCUGUGUGCACUGGC
This 27-nucleotide non-coding RNA is filed under the name Rattus norvegicus (Norway rat). Lineage: Eukaryota; Metazoa; Chordata; Mammalia; Rodentia; Muridae. The record is from RNAcentral.